UACGGAGGGUGCAAGCGUUAUCCGGAUUCACUGGGUUUAAAGGGUGCGUAGGUGGGAAUGUAAGUCAGUGGUGAAAUCUCCGUGCUUAACAUGGAAACUGCCAUUGAUACUAUGUUUUCUUGAAUUUUUCUGGAGGUCAGCGGAAUAUGUCAUGUAGCGGUGAAAUGCUUAGAUAUGACAUAGAACACCAAUUGCGAAAGGCAGCUGACUACAGGGAUAUU
Molecule: ribosomal RNA, 221 nt
Filed under: uncultured bacterium
Lineage: Bacteria
Description: partial 16S ribosomal RNA
Rfam family: Bacterial small subunit ribosomal RNA
Source: RNAcentral